AGAUGUGCAGAAGGGAAAAUCGAAAGCCAAGUGACUUUGAGAAAAGGACAUACACUUCCAGCUUGAUGUGGACUCUGCGCCAUGCCAGUUCCCGUAAACGUCGACAGGUCUCAGUGGUGGUGACUUCAGGGUGCAUAUGGAUAGACAGGACACUUGGUCAGCCAGAAAGCUUGUGCUGCUGAGUGAAGAAGGCAGAUUUGGUGCAUUGGAAGACAGCAACUGCAGAUGCAGAGGAACUGGAAGGGAAUCACAGCUGGUCAUGCCAAAGGGGCAGCCCAACCUAUGUUCAUUCAGCAACCAUGGCAGUUUCUCUACAUCUGUUUUCAAUUCGAGCUCCAGGUCAUGUUUUUCAGUUAGAAUAAAAUGUGAAAACUAUAAAAUAGACCCCCCUAAUUUCUUUUCCCAUAUCCCUUCCUCAUGAUCUUUUAUCUUCUUGAAUGAAGGAGUAUCAAGGUUAUUGAGCUGAGAAGUGGAAACUAGUGGACUUUUUUAAAGGCAAGACAGAUAAUAUCAGAUUUGAUAUGAUAGGCAUGAGAAAUACAUAAAAAGUAAUUACAGACUUUCAAAAAGUGCCUUUACACUUUUCUAGUGAUAAGCCUUUACAGUCAAACACCGAUGCCUCCCCUCAUUACCAAAAGCUAAAUUUAAAGGAGCUACACGGAAUGCUAACUAAGCAUAGUAAAAUGGUCAUCAUCAUCACAACAGAGUUUUUAUCAGGUGGAAAUUCUUUGUCUCUGUGCUCAAACCUAAAGAUCCUCUAAUUUUUGUCACUCCCUUCACUAGCUCACCUCUGCCAGUGUGACUAUUUUCAUGCAUGCCACUUGAAGGUUGACUCUUCUCUUAGAUUGUCCUUUUGGCAUACACUGAUUGCAGUAAAUACCAUCUUGCACUUUGGAGCCUGUGAAACACUCUUCACUUCUUGGCCACACUCCAUCCAUGUUCCUAUCUAAACUAUAAAUUACUUAACGGUAGAAAAGUUGUCUUAUUUUUCCUGCUUUUCUCCUCAGUGACAGUGUUUACUCAAAUCUAGAAUUUAAAAUAAGCAGAAAAGUGUUAAAAGUAUUUUGUUUGUCUAGUAAUAAUAUAUAGACCUUUUUUUUUUAUUUAAAAUGAGUUAAUGUAAGUCAAGCAUUUAUACCAGUGCCUGACAUAUAGGAAUGACUAUACUGCUCUUAUUGCCAUUAUCAUAAUUACUUGUAUAUAACCUACAAGUUGAUACAUAAAAUUUUCAUUACAAGCUCUUGAUUUCUUGAGACCUUCAGCUCCUGGCUACACCAUAAGCAUGAAAUAAUCCAUGCUUUACAAGCCAUCUGGGUACAUGUGGACUUUUUUCCUAUGUUCUGUAUCACUAUGUAGGCAGACAAUUGCCCAGAAUUUCAUUAGCUUUAAAAAUAAAAUACAAAAAACAUGCAAAACACUUUAAGACUAAAGGUAAUAUAUUAUGCAUGGGGACAGGAACUGUGUCUCUUUUACUAUACUCCCAAACACUAACAUGACAUCAGGCAUCUACUAGAGGCUCAACAAAUAGAUGUGGAAUAAAUGAAUAAAUAAGUAAGAAAAAAGUGACUCUAUUUGAAGGAGAAGAAAGGAAAUAAAAGGAGAAAGAAGAAAGAGAGGAAGAAAUAAAGAGAGAAAGAAAAAAGCUGAAUGAAGAGCCAUGAUUUUGCUUAUUGUGGAACGAAUGGCAGGUAGUUGAUACAUUUCCUAAUUCUUGAGCAGUUUUGGCUCAGACUCUGAGUACUUAAGUAAAGAUCCCAAAAUAUUUUUCCCAACAUGACCUUUUCAAUGCUAUUACAUGGAUUUAUCCUUCUCCUGUUCCAAUAGUUCUCUACAGCAAAAGUUCCGUGUUAUAAGUAUGACCUCUGCUCUGUUCUGCAGAGCACACCUCACAUGCCUACCUUAGUCCCUGUGCCUACUUCUGACUUCAGGCAAAGACCGAGCAGACAGUUCUGUGCCAGCUCUGACUCACUUUGCCCUGACAGAGUCAUGCCUCAGGCAUACAAGUCUCAAGUCUUUCCUCAUCUGGCCUCAAUUUUUUUUUCUAUGCCCCAAGAAUAGCUUGAUUGUCCCAUGCUCAGCUGUGGCUUGGAAAUGCCAAACAGUAAAUGCUCUUGGUGGGUAAUCCUCAACCAAAGACAGAUGGGAGCCAAUUGGCAGCUGAUUCUCCUCCCAUACUUUUUUUAUAUGGACCGUUCUCAUCAGUCUUUCACACAGUUCCCACAGCAACCAUAGUAGAAGCCUCAAUAAACCUGAGAUUGGCUUUAUCUCCUUCCCUUACCUGUUCUCAGUUGCUUCCUGUGAUAGACUCUCAAAUUAAUUACCUGUAGUCAAGCCCCCAAAUUAGUCACCUCUGUAUCUAAUAUUUUUCUUUUCUUUCUUAAUAUACAAAUAUUACAUAACUAUGUAUAUAUAUAUACAUAGAUACGUGUGUGUACAUAUAUUUUCUCCCUCCAUAC
RNAcentral lists this long non-coding RNA (2456 nucleotides) under Homo sapiens (human). Its description in RNAcentral is "HSALNT0129572". Lineage: Eukaryota; Metazoa; Chordata; Mammalia; Primates; Hominidae. The record is from RNAcentral.